AGAGUUUGAUCCUGGCUCAGAACGAACGCUGGCGGCAUGCUUAACACAUGCAAGUUGAACGCAGAAUAAGCCUUCGGGUUUAUUGCUGAGUAGCAAACGGGUGAGUAACGCGUGGGAAUCUGCCUUUAUGUGGGGGAUAACUAAGGGAAACUUUAGCUAAUACCGCAUACGCUCUACGGAGGAAAGACUUCGGUCGCAUAAAGAGGAGCCCGCGUCAGAUUAGGUAGUUGGUGGGGUAAAGGCCUACCAAGCCAAUGAUCUGUAGCUGGUCUGAGAGGAUGAUCAGCCACACUGGGACUGAGACACGGCCCAGACUCCUACGGGAGGCAGCAGUGGGGAAUAUUGGACAAUGGGGGAAACCCUGAUCCAGCAAUGCCGCGUGAAUGAAGAAGGCCUUAGGGUUGUAAAGUUCUUUCACCU
Molecule: ribosomal RNA, 420 nt
Filed under: uncultured bacterium
Lineage: Bacteria
Description: bacterial SSU rRNA
Rfam family: Bacterial small subunit ribosomal RNA
Source: RNAcentral